AUGGGGGGGCUGCAAUGGGGAGGGCUGAUAUAUCCCAAAGGGGCCCUGAAUGGGUUAUGGGGGGGCACGAGGGCACAGCUGGCAGCCUAUAGGUGUGUGUAUGGACAUAGGGCUGAUGUUUGCACACUGUGUGUCCCUGUGCCCUAUAGCUGUGUUAGGUGUGCUCUGCUCACAUCCAUACCCCUUCCUGAGCCCUAUUCAGUGCCAUACCCCUGCACCCACAACCCAUAUCCACAUAUCCACAUCCCAUAUCCCAUAUCCAUAUAUCCACAUCCCAUAUCCCAUAUCCACAUCCCAUAUCCCAUAUCCAUAUAUACACAACCCGUAUCCACAUCCCUCCCUGUACUCACAACUAAUAUCCACAUCCCAUAUCCACAUAUCCACAUACCCACAACCCAUAUCCACAGCCCUCCCCAUAUCCACACCCCAUAUCCCAUAUCCACAUAUCCACAUCCCACAUCCCAUAUCCCAUAUCCUAUAUCCACAUCCCAUAUCCCAUAUCCAUAUAUCCAUAUCCCAUAUCCCAUAUCCCAUAUCCACAUCCGAUAUCCCAUAUCCACAUCCCAUAUCCAUAUAUCCACAACCCAUAUCCACAGCCCUCCCUGCACCCACAUCCCAUAUCCAUAUAUCCACAUGCCAUAUCCCAUAUCCACAUUUCCACAUCCCAUAUCCACAUCCCAUAUCCACAUAUCCACAUCCCAUAUCCCAUAUCCAUAUAUCCACAUCCCAUAUCCCAUAUGCAUAUAUCCACAUCCCAUAUCCAUAUAUCCACAUCCCAUAUCCACAUAUCCAUAUAUUCACAUCCCACAACCUAUAUCCACAGCCCUCCCUGCACCCACAUCCCAUAUCCCAUAUCCAUAUAUCCACAUCCCAUAUCCACAUAUCCACUUCCCAUAUCCCAUAUCCAUAUAUCCAUAUCCCAUAUCCCAUAUCCAUACAUCCACAUCCCAUAUCCAUAUAUCCACAUCCCAUAUCCACAUAUCCAUAUAUCCACAUCCCAUAUUCCAUAUCCAUAUAUCCACAUCCCACAUCCCAUAUCCACAUAUCUACAUCCCAUAUCCCAUAUCCAUAUAUCCACAACCCAGAUCCACAGCCCUCCCUGCACCCACAUCCCAUAUCCCAUAUCCAUAUACCCACAUCCCAUAUCCAUAUAUCCACAUCCCAUAUCCCAUAUCCCAUAUCCACAUCCCAUAUCCACAUCCCAUAUCCCAUAUCCAUAUAUCCACAUCC
RNAcentral lists this long non-coding RNA (1230 nucleotides) under Coturnix japonica (Japanese quail). RNAcentral's name for it is "lncRNA (ENSCJPG00005000877.1)". Lineage: Eukaryota; Metazoa; Chordata; Aves; Galliformes; Phasianidae. The record is from RNAcentral.